AUAAAUAAAUAAACUUCUUUUCCUUUCUUUUUUUGGGAAAGAAAGAUAGGAUACUAUUCGAUUUGUUUAUUUUGAAUUAAAAAUAAAUUCAGCUAGAAAUAUAAAGUAAUAGAGCUUCAAACUUGGGAUUUCAUAUAUAUAUCAACCAUCAAAUUUUUUUACAACAUAUGCUAGAGACAAUCGAUAAAUUAAAUAGGCUUGGGCUAAAAUAUAGAAAACUUCCUUAUAAAUAUCUGCUUUUUCACUUUUCUUACUUGACUUUUAAAAAUCUACAUUUUGCCCCCUUAUAAUUUUAAAAAUAUUUUCAAAGGAGUACGACGUUAAUAGAGAGGGUAAAAUAACCAAAUUACUCUUACUUUUUUUAUAAGAAAAAUAAUAAAUUUUUUAAUAUAUUUUUGUUAUUUUUAAGGAUAUUUUUGGUAUAAAUUAUAAAACAUGAACGGAAUUGUGAUGUAACCUAACAGAGGAGGGCUAAAUGUAACAACUUAAAAUAUUUUUUUUUUUUUUGAGAGAUGGGUAGCACGUUACCCGCUUCGUUUAUUUUAUUUAGAAAUAAACUUAGCUGGAAAUGUGAAUCAACUAGGGUUCGAACUUGGGUCUCGGGUACCAACCACCAAACCCUUUGUCACUUGCUCUAGGGACGGUCGGUAGCAACUUAAAAUGUUGAAGAGGUAAAAUAUAAAUUUUUAAAGUAAGA
RNAcentral lists this long non-coding RNA (697 nucleotides) under Ananas comosus (pineapple). RNAcentral's name for it is "long non-coding RNA (ACOM_LNC011702)". The record is from RNAcentral. Lineage: Eukaryota; Viridiplantae; Streptophyta; Magnoliopsida; Poales; Bromeliaceae.